GUGUUGAACUGAAGAGCCCUCCUUAACCAACUUCCUGCAUGCUAAUUUCAGCUCAGAUUCCACUUACUGGGGAACCUAAGUUGCAACAGGGAUUCUUACUGGACAAACUGAUCAAGAUUAUUACUCAAUGACUGCCUCAGCUCCUUCUCCCUGCUCAGCUAAACUCCUGGCAACUGGUCCUGAGGACACUGUCCACCGUGCAUUGCUCCCCAGCUCCAUAGAGCUGUCCUGGCACCUGCUCUUCCCGAGUGCCAUGGCAGUCCUGGCUUGACGAUGUAGGGAGAAGAAAACUCCCCUGCCCAACCUGGAGGAGGAGUUGAUGGUGGAAGCAUGACAUCUACUCAAGAAUGAGGAAGAUGGCCUUUUCCCUCUCCCUACAUUUCCUUUGAUUAUAAAACUGUAUCCCACUAAGUUCUCAGGGUGAAGCACCCUCUCACCCACCCACUUGUGAGUCUCACAAGCGUCCCUAUUCUAAUAAAUCAGUUCUUAUUUAC
Balaenoptera musculus (blue whale) is the source of this 494-nucleotide long non-coding RNA. RefSeq lists it as uncharacterized. Lineage: Eukaryota; Metazoa; Chordata; Mammalia; Artiodactyla; Balaenopteridae. The transcript is spliced from 3 exons. The record is from RefSeq and is a predicted model, not a curated record.